Molecule: long non-coding RNA, 493 nt
Organism: Lycium barbarum (goji berry)
Lineage: Eukaryota; Viridiplantae; Streptophyta; Magnoliopsida; Solanales; Solanaceae
Exons: 4
Source: RefSeq, a predicted model, not a curated record
GGGUUUAAAAAUAAUUCAUUUACUGUGGCCAUGAAAAAUAAAGAAAAUAGAAGCAAUUUGACGCAAUGGACGGCAACAACUGUUUUUCGUGGACCUAAAAUUUUUAGAGAAAACAGCAAAGGUUGGUUGAGUACGGAAGUUACGGCAUCCUUCGAAGGGGAGAUUCUUUACUAAUCUCCAGAGGCUCUACGCAAAUGAAAGGCAUUGGUUUGAUCGUUCGUGGCACCCGCUCGGCAUUGAGAGUACGAUCCAGGCUCCAGUUCUACACCCUGUGGCUGAUACGCGAGGGUGACAUCUUUCAGUCAUUCAGGGUGAGCUACUUGAUCAUCCGUGGCCCCUGAAGGACCUCCUUUAUUUAUUUCUAUUUUUGUAUUCGACAGACAAUAUGUAGCCUUUGGGUAUUUUCAAACUUGUAUUCCGUAUUAUGUUUAGCGCUCUUGUACCCUUUGACCAGAUUUUGGGGUUGUCGUGACAUUUCUAGUUAUGAUAAGUA